This is a long non-coding RNA of Pseudopipra pipra, 12233 nucleotides long. RefSeq lists it as uncharacterized. Lineage: Eukaryota; Metazoa; Chordata; Aves; Passeriformes; Pipridae. The transcript is spliced from 2 exons. The record is from RefSeq and is a predicted model, not a curated record.
GUUUAUUAAAACCACAGGCUGGCAAAUUCAGGAAACUCCUUUUUAAACACACAUAGGGAGAUUCCUAGCCUUUUUCAGCAGCAGAAGGGAUGAGGUUCUUUGUGUAAAUGAAAUCAAAAUCAAGAUUGUUAAAGCUCUAAGACUUGGCAGAAAUGUGAGAUUUGUGUCUUCUUAUUCACAGAAUAAGUGUGUGACCCACACUGCAGCUGAAACUACACCACCAGCUUUGGUUUCUGAGUACCAGCUCCAAACCACCACAGGCUAUGGGCUGACAAACAGUCCACUGGUUCAGAUAUAUGAAAAAAAAAUCUGUCAUUAUUUUUCCAUAUAUGCUCUGUGUCAGAGCAGGUCCCACCUGUCUUCCCCUAGCCAUAUUAAAUUUGGCAUGAACUUCUUACUGUAUAUUCAGGCAAAUUUUGCAGAAAGACCAGCAUCUGCCAUGCAUCUGCCUUGUCCAGAUGAUGUUUUUAUUUCUGAGUGAUGCCACAAUGUACAAAUCUGUAUGAACUGGGAAAUUAGUCAGAUAGAGGAAUAUCUUCAUAACUUGUUAUAGCAAUUAGUCCUGCUGUUUAGAGCCACACCAUUCAAGACAGCUAUGAAGUUGUUGAGCUAAGAAAGCACUCGAACACAGCACGGACAAACAUUAUUCUUUGUUGGCUGCUUGUCGCUGAUGAUUAUUCUCUGUUUGAAAUCCCUCAUUUCGGAAGGGAAGGGUUGUGAGACCAGGGAAGAGAGACAGCGAUCCUACAUCUGCUGUGAAUGAUGAGUAGGAGGAAGUAAGGAGGAAGUACAGACAGGUAGAUAUAGACCCUUGAAGUCUUACUUAUCUGUAGAGAGACACCAAGAGAAUUGCUCUGAGUACUUUCCUUUUUCAAAGCAGUUUUUUGAAACUGAGUUAAUAUAGCUGUCAUUCAGUUCAGCUUGAACUUGCCCAUAAAGUUACCUGUUAUUCAGAAGCCACUGCUCCUUCUGUACUCUCUCUCUGCUUAAUGGCAUCUUUAUUUCCAACAAAUGUAAUUUUUUAGGUAGCAGAGUGUUCUGCCCUUCUGUGUUUGGAUACAGGGAGAUCCUGUUUAGUUUACAAUAGAGCUCUGUCAUCCCAGAAAGAGAGGAGAGAAGCCAGUCUCCCAAAUACUACAGUUGCCUCAUUACUGCCCUUUCUGAAGUGAGACUUUUAUGCCAUAUUGGCUCAAUUAGGAGGUGUUAAAGAAAUGGCACUGGCAUCUUUAAUCAGAUGACAAGUUGUAGUGAUAGUUAAGAUUUACUACAAGGAAAAAUACCAAAUUGUAAAGUCCAUGGACCAAAGGCUCCAACUUAAUUGUAUAAUGUAGGAUGUCAUUGGGAAUUACCCUCAAAAGAUGCAUGGGGAGUUCUGGAGAAUCACAGAAAGGGAAGAAAAAAAGCCCUUUUUGUGACAGUCUCAGAGCUCAGGGGAACAGAGAGACAGCAAAUAAUGUGCUGGGUCAGAGACUAAUUAGGCAUUACAUCUGUCGUCUGACAGGAUUUCAUAACUCCCUGAUACCUCCAUUGUGUCUUCAUUUGGGAAUUUUCCUAGCCCUGAGCAUUUUUCAUUGCUCUGUCAGUCUGAAAUGAAUUUGUCCCAUCUUCUAUGCAACACCUACCAUAAAGUUAGCUUGCAAGAGGUCCCUGCUGAGGCAACAAGAGGCAUAUGCUCAGGCUUGGGAACAUCAUGGUUCACCAAGGCUGAAACAGCGGUGGCAGCAGCAACUACCUUCUCUGGGCUGGCUGACACACACCCUUCACAGUUUGGGGAAUGCUACCUGGUGAGCUGCAAAGGAAAUUCACAGUCAGCCAACAACUUAAUGCAAUUAAGUGCCUAUAAACUUCACUGUAAGGAGCAGUGCAACAGAAGUGUUGUAUCAAAUCACUGUUCCCAGACAAAGGGCACAAAGAGAGAGUGCACUCUGUAUCACACAUCAGACACACUCAGAGGCUGUUAAAAUCCCCAACCAGAGGUGGAGCUUCAAUCAGAGUGCACAACAGGCUGCAAUACACAGUCUGGAGGAGAACAGGCUUCAUUAAUCUCAAAGUUGUUUACACUUGCCUGAAUGUACAAUGCAAGACCACGGGAUGAGUUUUGCAGAAGGCCUGCACCUUAGAGACUUUGUUAUGUGCAUCGUUUCUUCAGGGCAAGAUGCAGUCCAAGUAGCCAUCGUUGGCUUAGACAACUUCAAAUCCAAGACAGAGGCAGAGAUAGAUUACAAGAACAGUGUCAGUUUUCUCAGCUGAACCAACCUAGCCUUUUUCAGCACACUGCACCAACUCUGCUUUCUGUAUCAGACCAGCACAGAGGAUGCUCUUUACUGGUUGCAUGGUUUUGCUCACAGGCAGUGCAAUGCUGUGAUGGUAUGGUUCCUCAGGCUAUCUGAUCGCUGUGCUUCACAGAACAGUGAUUUUGCUUCAAACAUCAUGUCACGCAACUCAGUGUUGCAGGCACCAGGAUCACAGAUCACAGCUGUGCCAAAUGAAUGAAGGCAGGACCUGCCAACACUGUUGCAGUUUAUGGUGGUAUGGUGAGCACAACAUAUGUUUCUAUUUACUGAUCAUGAGGCAGCUCUGGUGAUCCUACUACAUACCGUUGUCAGAAGGUAGGUGCUACUUCUUCGUGCCAUCACAUUUCCUUCUUUGGACACGUCCAAGUGUACUUAGGCUGCUCUAGCCAUUUCAGGGCGUAGCUGUCAGUGCAAGGAAGCUGAGGUGUGGGAAAGGCUCUAUGAGAUAGAUUUUAUGGGGUGAGAGGUAGGAGAGAAUCUGUAAUUUACUAUAAGCUAUGAUUGCACACAGCCAGAGUGCCUUGUGCCUGGGGAGAAAGCCAUCUUCUUUUGGCUGAUAACUGUUAUGGUGGGCUCUUUUAUUGUGGUCAAAACCCUCCCUCUACAGACUUUCCUGACAAAUAACAGACUAUGCUUGUGCAAAGGCAAAGCAUCUGAAGGAUGUACCAGAUGGGUUACAGUAGCCCUUCUUUUCCAAAACAAGGUCAGGCAUUUGCAUACCUCUCAGAUUCAGUUUGUCCUUCAAGAAUACUCAGAGGUGUCCCCCGUCUUUCAGACUCAUGCUGUUUCUUAGUGCUAUAUAUGUGCACAUACAUGUGCAUACAUAUAUACAGGUAAAUGUACAUGUACAUAUCCAUAUCUCACACAUAUGUAUCUUUGAAACGCUGAAAGAGAAAGGGAAAUCAGCUGACUUGUUCUCCAUCAAGAAGAAUGUUGCAAUUGAUUUCAACAAUAAAAAUAACUGAUAAAUAAUCACCUAAAAAAUGGACAACAGCCCUAGGCUUUGCUACUUUCCUGCCUACAGGAAAGUACUCCUGUGCUUUGAGUCAGGUGUUUGCUGCUUUUUGCUCCCUGCCAUCCUUACCCAAUCCAUAUUUUGCUCACAUUGAGGAGGCAAACUGGUUGUCAUGCAUGGAAGUGACAUGACACAUCCUUAGCAUCAUUCUGUUCACUGUUUUACAGUGGAAAGGACCCAGUCCUAGGAAUGCAGGUCCAGCUUGUCCAUGGAUUUUCACUGUGUGUUUUGAUAAGCCUUCAGGGACUGGCAACCCAUCUAAUCUGUCUACCAGCUGUUUGAAGUCAUACUGUCAUCUCCAUUCUGGCCUUCUGCUUGCUCAAUGCUCUGUGCUUCAGGUCCACGACUAACUUGGUGACCUCCACUGGACACACUCCAGUUUGAUCAUCUCUCUCUUGAAGUGGGGAGACCCAGAUUGGGUGGGAUCUCACCAGUCCGAAGUAGAGGAGACUAUAAUCACUAGUAUCACUCUAAUCACUCUAAUCACUCCCCUCACACUGCUCACUGCACUCUUUGCUUAUACAGCCAAAGCUUCCUGUGUUGCAGAGUCAUGCGCUGACUGCUGGUUAGCUACCUCGUACACUUCACAAGAUGGGAUCAUUCUACCCCAGAGGCAUAACUUCACAUUUGCGUCUGUUGACCUUCCCAAUGUCUGUAUCAGUCCAUUUCCCCAGCCUGCCCAGGUCUAUCAGAAAGGCAGCUCUGUCCUCCAGUGUACCACCUGCUUUCCCAGCCUCUCGUCUUCCACAAACCUACUGCACGGUCCACAGAAACUAAUUUUCCAUGUGCAAACCAAAACAAAAAGACAAAAAAGCAUGUGGGCUGACACCAUUUUUGCAGGUCCUCUCCCAGAAGAAGUGGCAACUCCGCUCUUUGAAUUUCCCCAAAACUGAAGCACAAUUUGAGCACCCAGGGGAUUGUGAAUGACUCACGUUUACAACUAGAGCUACAUUUCUUCAUCCUAGAAGUGGUUUAUCAAUUACAUUUUAACAAGACAUACUACAGUCCUGGCAUAUUCAUUAUUUUCUACUCAUUUGAGACAUACUCGAGAGGGAAGACUGAUCACAGGAAAUAAAUAAAUGCUCAAAUAAGCCAAUACACAGGAUAAGAAAUAUUAGAGGGUUUUUUUCAAGAAGAGAUUUAUGAAGCAACAGCUUGUAUUCUUACUAAAUUUCUUUCGUUAUGAACAACUUAAAAGUUGUGACAGAGUAACAACCUCAUCAAGGAAGUGAGCCAUCUUGGACACCAGAAAGAACAUAGAUAAAAUUGCUACAGACAUAAAAAUACAUGCAUGCAAAAAUACUGCUAAAAAUACAGUCAGCAAAAAAUUGGGGGAGAGGAGUCAAAGAGCCUCUCUUUGAGGUCUCACAGCUCUCUAAAGCAUACAUUGUGCUCAAUCACCUCCUUGGGCCACAACAAGCAGGUUUGGGAGUGUCCCCAGCUGUGACUAGCAGAGCUAGACUACUCAAACAAAAAAAUCUCACAUGAGAAGUUAAAAUAAAAUGGUCUGUAGAAAAAUCAACCCCAUUCCCACUGUCCAGGUGGUCCAUCCCUGAUGAGAAAUUGAGUACGAACUACUGCAUCGUUCUCUUUCCUCAGUAUAUUCCAGCAUGCAUGCUUGAAGAAAGAGCCUAUCAGCAUCCCUGUGGGAAGGAUGAUUCCACAAAUUUUCACAGAAUAAUACAAUCAUUUAGGUUGGAAAAGACCUCUAAGAUCAUCAAAUCCAAAUGAACCCAGCACUGCUAAGUAUACCACUAAACCAUAUACCUAACUGCCACAUCUACAUAUCUUUUAAAUACCUCCAGGGUUGGUGACUCCACCACCUCCCUGAGAUGCCUGUUCCAGUGCUUGACAACCCUUUCGGUGAAGAAAUUUUUCAUAAUAUGCAAUCUAAACCUUCCUUCACGCAACUUUUGUGGCUGUUUCCUCUUGUCCUAUCACUUGUUACUUGGGAGAAGAGACUGACACCCACUUACCACAAUCUCCUUUCAGGUAGUUGUAGAGAGCAACAGGUCAUCCCCAAGCCUCCAUUCUUCCAGGCUAAACACCCACAGUUCCCUCAGCCACUCCUCUUCAAACUUGUACUCCAGACCCGUCACCAGCUUCAUUGCCUUUUUCUGGACUCACUCAAGCACCUCAGUGCGUUUCUUGCAGUGAGGGGCCCAGAACUAGACACAGUACUUGAGGUGUGGCCUCACCAGUGCUGAAUACAGGGAAGAGUCGCUUCCCUGGUCUUGCUGGCCACACUGUUGCUGAUACAAACCAGGAUGCCCUUGGCCUUCUUGGCCACCUGGGCACACUGCUGGCUCAUGUUCAGCCAGCACCGCCAGGUCCUUUUCCACCAGGCAGCUUUCCAGCCACUUUUCCCCCAGCCUGUUAGCAUUGUAUGAGUUCGUUGUGACCCAAGGAUCUGUCAGUUCGAACCUCAUAUCAUUGACCUUAAUCAUUGAUCCAGCCUGCCCAGAUACCUUUGCAGAUCCUUCCUACUCCCUAGCAGAUCAACACUCCUGCCCAACUUGGUGUCAUCUGUGAACUUACUGAGGGUGCACUCCAUCCCCUCAUCCAGGUCAUAGUUAAAGAUACUAAACAGGACUGGCCUUAAUACUGAGCCCUGGAGAACACAACCUGUGACAUCUGCUAGUUGGAUGCAAUGCCAUUCACCAUGACCCUCUGGGUCUUUCUGUCACUACUAUUGAUUUAUGCUCCUCUGUGAUACACAGGAAAGAUAGAUGGGGUUGAUCUGUUGGAUUUCAGUCAGAAGGCUGGGAAUGCCAAGUCCCAGUUUCCUGUGCUCUUGAGAAGUAGUCCUAGGGUUGAUUGGCUCCAGAAGGCCCCAGAAACUCCUGUGACAUAGGUAUGCAAGGAACAAAUGUUGUUGAUACCCAAUGGCAAACACAAAACUGAAUCAUGAAAUAACCAAAAACAUCUCAUGAAGAUUGAACACUCUGGUAUGCAGCUUUUAAGAUGACACCCAGCAGUGGCAGUUCUGAAAAGAGUCAGUUAAGUAGAAGCUGCAGAAAAAAUAUCAUAUUUGAAAGUAAUUAGAUGACCUGAGCCUUGAGAAUAUUGAUUAGAAUUGAAUCUGGUAGCAGACUGGGGUACUGCAAAUUCUUGUUAUGCCACCUUCCCUCAUCACAUCAAAGCUGAGGAGACCCUCUCUAACCACAAAAAAAAAAAAAAAAAAAAAAAAAAAAAAGACAGACAUGAAGAUGCAGGUAGUCCUCGGUUUAGCAAAUUGCUCAAUAAACUUUUACAUGUUCAGGUAGAGCAAUGGGUGUAUGCAUUGUGGCAAGGCUCCUUUCCAUUCUAGCCAGCAAACACCUUGAUAAAUCACUCUCCAUCAUGAUAUAAUAGACCUUUAGAGAAUUGCUCCCACCCUAAAUAUUAGACACAAAUUUAUCUUCUUCUCCCAUUUCUUCAUAUUUUUGUAGGAUUCUGGGAAGCAACUGAAAUUAGUCUACCCAAUACAACAUUUUCUUCCUUUAUUAUUUAAUAUGAUUAAUUUGUUCAUUUGACCAUGUCUGGGGCCUCGCCUGUGAACUCUUACCAGUAACUUUCAAGCAGCCUUGGCUUGUUGAAUCCUCAAAAAAAUAAAAAAAAAGCCCAAGCAACCUCUUGCUGAUUUAAGGAUAUAGAAAUCUGGGACAAAAUAAACCCCCCUUGCUGGGCCUCAGAGAUCUGAGGGGUCAGAUACAGCCAGGAUUUAUUUCUGAUUAUUACCAAUUCAGCACUAUGAGUUUGGUCAUGUUCAAUAAGAGAUUUCACGAUCAGAGAUUCACAAAUAGUGUGAUUUACUUAUACGAUAGGUCUGGCUGAGCGCAAUAAAAGCUUGCACAUUCCAGAUAUAACAAAUAGUGUAGUUUACUGAAGCAAAAAGAGGUCCAGGAUUGCUGGUAAUAAAUACACUAACUGCAGUGUGUGAAUAUGUGUUAGGACAGAAGGUAUCCUAACAAAGAUCUAUUAGAUAGAUAGACUAAAAUAUUCCUGAAUCUGCUCCAAUGCAGUUGGAGGCAAAAAAUCUCACAUAAAGGUAUCCCUUCAGUGGAGGAGGUGAGACACAGUCCUUUGACUGAUCCCGAGCAAGCAGAGGUGUUUUUAUCCCCCUCAUUUUCUUUCUUUUUUUUUCUCUUGUCUUUUUCUUUGUUGUGAAAACCCCCCUUCUUUUAUAUAAUAAUUUUGGGCCUUCCCAAAAAGGUGGAUCAAUUCUGUGUCAUAAGUAGGCUGUUGGUGACUGUGGUCAUACAUGUAAGGCAUGUUCUCUUUUCAUUUGUAUUCUAAGGGGUGUGAAAGUUAAUAUGCAAAUAGGAAUUAAAGGGAAUCUUGGUUUCUUUUGGUCAGAAUUUAUAGUUGAUAUAAAAGGUAAAAUAAUCAAUAUGGUCUUCUUCCACCCACUGAGGCAGCAGUAAAGGCUGCCUGACCUUCACCAAAGCAUCUUUGCGCUCAUCCUGAUCUCCCCAAAGGACCAGACUUACAACAAGCCUUCUUAUGCAAGGUGAAGUGGGAGUGAGGCCAACGGCUGGUGUGGAUGCUCCUCUAUGCCUCACUGAAACAUCAGGACAUGAGGACUCCACCCCAGACAUCAUUUCAGUGUUAGCCCUUGCUCAAGCCAGGUGCAGGAUCAGUGAGAGGCCCUGUUCAUAUUUUUCUCAAGCAGCAUCAUCAAUUUGACACUGAAUUAAACAACUCUAUAGCAAGUCUGACAAUUUACUACACCUCUCUUUUCCUGCUGCCCCCCAAGAAAGGAACCUGUUGGUAUACACUUGGCACAUAACAACAAUCAUUUUAUGUCUGCUUAGAACAUUUUUCAUUGGAAAAUACAAUUUAAUCAAAAGGGAAACCUGGCUGCAGGAAGAUGUUGGUUUCAAUGACAUUUUGUAAUUGAGAAAAUAAAAAUCACAGAAUAUUUCACACUGACCUUUUUGAGAGGCUGGACAGGGCUAGGUCUUUUGAAAUUAUUUGUCUCUAAAAUAUUUGAUACUGAUUCAACUGCAGUCCAGCUGGCAAGAGCACAUCUUCAAUUUUCUUUUAACUGAAUUUGUUUGAUAGAUCAAAACUGAAAUUGUUAAAAAUACUUUGUUUGUUUGGGUUUUUCUGAGGGAACUGCCAAAGCACAAUAUUUUUCUGUUUUGAGCUAGAAAGAACUAUUCAGAUUGCAAUAUCAUACAGGAAGUCUGAUGAAGAGAUCUUUUUACACUUCAUCUUUUUGUAGAGAAAUUCUCUAUGGCCCUGUGCAGAACAGCUGUCCUAAGCCCUCUGCACUGAGUAACCUCUCCUUGGAAGCACAUACUCUUUUUUUCUGCGGUGAAAGUCAGGAAAGAAAGAGCAACAGGUGAGCUUCUUGGUCAGUGGAAGAUGUAAAGGGGAAAUCAGGCUACUUCCAACACAAAACACAUCUUGAGGAAGCAUCACUUGACACCAUUCAACAGCAGUGUGAGGGAAGACCCAAGAAGGCUCCUUGUGGCCAGGAUUUGUCGUCCGCUACCUAUGUUUCCAGAGUAUGUAGUUCUGCCUUGGGAAAGGCUCCCCAGUGUGUGCAAUGGCAGAGCCUCUUUACUAUCAUAUAACUUCCACAAAUUUCCACUGUCCUAAAUACUUCCCAAGUUUGAAAGGCCUCUGCCAGCAGGGGCCUGAGAGUAAUCUGGGUAGGAAAAGGGAGGCUCUAAGCUGAAUCCUUUGGUUAUGUCUUUCUCCUCUAUUCCUCUCUUUCCCUGUUCUCCCUUCACAGAGGCUGCUUCCACACAUUUAGAGCAAAAAACAGAAGCUCAGAGAAAAAAGACUUCAGUGCUGGCAGAUGGGGCUUGUGCUGGACAGAGCUGCGACCUCAUGUCAGGGAGCACACUGUGGAGCUGCUCCACAGUGGUGCUCUUAGGAGAGAAGCUGCAAGCGCCAAGACACACUCCCACUGGGCAGCCUAUGCUGCCGAAGCCCUUGGCUCCCAUCCAGUCCUUACAUCAAACUUCUUUUGAAGGUUAGACCCAAUGCCCUCAGCUGAUCCAGCUCUGAAACAGGCAGCGACUUUUUUCUGCCUUUGGGAUCUCACCAUACCCUAAACUGUAAAUUUUUGCAAAGAUUUGCUAAGCUCUCAUGUUACUCAGGUGCUAGUACAUCAUCCUUAGAGCUGAACUGAAGAUAGAUACAGAAGAACUUUCUCUAGGAACUGUGCUGCAGCAGAACAUUGAACUCCUCUUGGACUUACUCAGGGACUACUGGGGCAGGAGGCCUAGUCUCUUCUGACUCCUGAGUAGUUAACAGAAAGAAAUCAAUGCCUCCAAAGGGAAAUUCAGAGCAAGAGAUAAAUGCUUGGAAUUAAUCUGAAUUAUAUGUUGGCUGUGAUUCUCUGACGGCUAGAGAGGAAGCCUUGGGAGAAAAGUCUGCAGCACCAUUAAGAUACUUACUCUCAUUUCCUAUGAUCCAUGCUGCCUUUCCUGAGUCCUAUGCCCAGAUGCAUUUUCAAACUGCUUUUGAUGCCUGGGUCUUCCUAUUCCAGACAUUUCUGCAGCUCAAAGUUGUCUUUGCGGCAUUGCAGUUACCUUGAGAUUAGUGGGAGCAACUGGUUAGGAACCCAUUCCCAAAUUCCCACACCAAAGUGCCACCGGCACUCUGAGGGAGUGCAGUGAAGUGCCAUUAUCACUUGUUAUCUUCAAGCAAUUUUCAGUUGGAACAUUCAGCUUAGGAACAUUCCUUGGCUGAAGACACCCUGUGGGUGCUGCUGUACUGACCCUUUAUUUAGUUCUGCAUCAGAACAUAAUAAGAGGCAUGAGCGUUGGUAGGGACUCAGGGCAGGGUGUGACAUGUCAAAAUGGAGUAUCUUCCCAGAACUGAGCUGCAGGCUGAUAACUAUGGCCCAGAGCAUCUUUUAAGAUUGCAUUCUUGUUUUCUUUGGCAGGGGAUUCUCUUAAAAAAAACAUUUCCUGUUAUUUUCAUUUCACCCCAGCACAAAUUAGCUUUUCUUCAUUCCUCCUUGGUUUUCUUCACCUCAGACACUGUUGGCCAGCUAAUUCUUCUAAAAUUUGCCGUUUGAUCACUGAGCAAAUUGUAUUAUUACAACCCUGUUGUUAGAGGCACCAUGGGAAUAUAAUUUAAUUACUGCAUAAUAUCAAUCAGAUGCAUAAAUUAAAACAUUCACAUUUGAAAAAAAGACAUUUUCUACUUUUAGUUGUAUGAUCUGCCAAGCUUGGAAGUGAAAAAAGCUUCUUUCUCCAAGCUCUUGUGCAGUGAGAGGUGGUCAAUUCUCCCAAAUAGGUAGAAGGGCUCACAGUUGAAAGCAUAGGGCUCACAGUUCCCAGGUGUGGUUACCUUUAAGAAGAAUUAUUUCUGGAAGAAUUUUUAACAAGAGAGGCUGUGAUUGAACACCAUUUAAGUUCUACAGUGUCUAGCAUCAAAUAGUUUAACUACAGGGUCUAUGAAGAACCACCUCUGUGUCAACUGUGAUGUAAACAAUAGCUGGGCCUUUUAAAGCUACAAGUAGAAAUGCAAGCCUUCAUGGCCUCUCAUAUGUCAAAACGCAACAAGCCUCAAGGAAGCUAAAUUUUCUCAUGUGCUUUUAAGCUGAAACACUUCAGCAGGGAGAGAAGAAAACGUAAGAAGGGUCAGGGGUCUGUGUCUUAUCAAUUGGUAUACAAAAGUCUACUGGGCUUCUCCAGCCUAAUGAUCUCCUCCAUCAUCUUGUACCGUAAGAGUCCCUCUUAUAGUCCUUACUACAGUGACACAGCACUAAAGAAACACACAAACUCAAAUCACUGGUGAAGAAGAAUAAGGACGGAGGAAGAUAAAUGUUCUGUUUUGAAAGAAACUCCUUUUUGAUCUCAUAUCAUCCAGUGGAUGAAAGCAAUGGGGAAAAAAUUCAUAUUAGAUGCAACAUUUGGUUUCAACUAUGAGCUGGUAAUUGAGUUGUCUGUUUUGGCAUGUCUUGCUCUGAAAGAGGAUUUUUAAAUUAAAACUGGCUUCCAACUCCUCUAGAAAUUAUUUUUGGCUUAUUUUGAUCCCAGCAAACCUGAAAUGGUAUUGUAUAUAUAUGCUUCCGAUUAUAAGUUACCUGGCAGAAGUGGCCCAAGUUUGCUAAAGUCCUGAGCCAUCUGGUUUCUGUGGGAGCCCUUGGCACAAGGCUACCUGUCCACUCAGUGAUGCCUGGGGCAAAGGUGGGUCCUGAAUGCUGAAUCAGGGGUGAGACAAGUGUAAUGAGAUGUUUGUCAUGGCAAAACAUUAUGCAGAAACUCAAGAGCAGGUACUCCCGGGCUCUUUUGGCUUACAGUUUUCUCCCACUGCUUAGAUUUGAGAAAAGCCAAAUAUGCGUCUGUUAGAGUUUAGGUAAAUGAUGAAGAUUUUUUUGUUGUUGAAUUUUUUCGUCGUGGGGGACGCCUCCCUCCUCUCUAUGUGCAGGGCGGGGAGGGAUGAGGAGGUCCCAACGGGAAGUACCACGACAGUUUAGGGAGAUAAAACUUCCUGGCACUACUGGAACUCGUUUUCUGGUUUCUGGGGGGUCAACUUGGAGGGAGUCGCCAGCCACUGUGCCCCUGGAGCUCCCCCACGCUCCAGCUUCGUGGAUCACAUGCUGGGCAGGGGCUCUCCCGUUCACCACAGCAGCCGUGUUGGAAGGAAACCGGGAAUGCCCCUUUCCCCUUUGGUGCACUGUGACUGGUGACAGCCACGCCGCCUCCUCGCUGCUCACCUCGCGCCACCUCCUCGCUGCUCGUCGCAGCCACCGCUGGACACCACCUUGGAGGCCCACCCGCCCACCGCUGCUGUCGCGGCCCCUGCCGCCACGCCGCACCCAAUACUGCCCCUCGGCUCUGCACAGGAACUCCGUGGGGACUGUGUUGGGCAGCAUAGAACCGAGAGAGUGGUUUUAGGUGACAUUAUUUCUGCUAUUGUUUGUUUGGUUUGUUCUCCGUUUUUUUAGUAAAAAUAUUUAUUUUCCUACUUCA